This 224-nucleotide ribosomal RNA is filed under the name uncultured bacterium. RNAcentral describes it as "partial 16S ribosomal RNA". It matches the Rfam family "Bacterial small subunit ribosomal RNA", at positions 328 to 539 of the family's 1533-position model. The record is from RNAcentral.
ACGCUCGACACCUACGGGAGGCAGCAGUAGGGAAUCUUCCACAAUGGACGCAAGUCUGAUGGAGCAACGCCGCGUGAGUGAAGAAGGUUUUCGGAUCGUAAAGCUCUGUUGUUGGUGAAGAAGGAUAGAGGUAGUAACUGGCCUUUUAUUUGACGGUAAUCAACCAGAAAGUCACGGCUAACUACGUGCAAGCAGCCGCGGUAAUCUGAGCGGGCUGGCAAGGC